AACAUCUAGAAUUAGAACUUCAUGCAUUUUAUCUAUUAAGUCUUUGCAAAGGCAUUUGGGAGAUAGAUAGGUAAAAUAGGCUUGUCAUCAUGAGACAUGAGGGGCAAGUAAAUGAAUAGAUGUGGAUAGGAUAGAAUCACCUAAAUUGGUAAAGAAAAAUCAUAAAAUCAUACAUCCUAGACAAAUGGGGCAUGCUAAGUCCCAACGUUUCAUGUAAAGUCUUACUUGAAAUAUCCAAGUUUCUCAUAUAUCUCACUUAGCAUUCAAAUAUUUAAUUUGUAGGCACUAUUUGUCUUCUUGUUUGCAUCGUGAUCACAACAUUCGUUGUUGGACAUUAUAUUGAUCAUCAUCACAGGUAAAUGGCUACACCACCAAGCUCCCCUCCUCCUCCUCCUCCUCCUGAUUCAACAUCACAUUCACCUUCUACCAUGAAGAGGACAAGAAAAGUGACCCGACUGAGAUCAUUGGCUACUAGACCAGUUGGGGCAGAGAAACCCCUAGUCCAAGUGGAUCCUGCAACUGGGAAAGCUAAUGGUCCCCACAGAAAGAAGUUAAGAACAUAUUUGGGGAUCGUCACUCGCGAUAAGGUGGAUGUGACAUACGAGAAUUGGAAACAAGUCCCUACUACCUAGAAGGAUUUGAUAUGCGAGGAUAUUCAGGCUGGAUUUGAUAUCCCUGAAGCAUCUGAUUUGAGGAUGAAAAAUAAAAUACUUCAGACCAUGGGGAAGCAGUGGAGACAGUUCAAGACUGAUUCAACGUUGAAAUGGGUACUUGCAAUCGACAAGGAUAGUGUCGAUGACACUAUUUGUGCAAAGUGUGGCAUUAUCAAGAAGAAGUGGACCCAAUUUUGUUAGAGCCGCAGAGACCCUUCGUGGGAGAUAAAUUUGUGACUUUCAUUGUUUUAAACUUUAAAUUUACUUAUUAUUGUCAGUAAUAAUAACUUUGGAUAAUGUUUAAUUUUUAAAGGAUGUGCGAAAGAAGGCACAAACCAUUCAAAAACAAAACAUUGCCUCUCACGUGUUGUCUUGUGAGGGUUGUGAAUUUCUAGAAAACAAGUUAAUGGAGGAGAAGAAAACAAAACAACUGGAGGAAGCUGCUAAAUUUGGAAGCACUAACAUCGUCAUUGAUCCUCCAUCUCCCAUCAGACGACACAUGAAGUGGAAGAUGGCCUGCACCAAGAAAACUGACCAAAUGACGUCUGAGGCAACAAAGGAAAUUGAUGACAAGAUUGAUUCCUUGGUGGAGCAGGCCUCACAGGGUUCCUUUGUUGCCCAUAGACGUCAGGAUGUACUUACUGCUGCCAUUGAGCGACUAGAACACCCUGGUUGUGUGCGUGCUGUUGGAGCCAGUGUCACGAUUAAACAAUACUUUGGACCGACUCCAAGGACCUCCCACACGUCUUUGUUCAUGGCUCCCAAAAACCUGGAGCAGCUGACGCAAAAAAUCAAGACAUAGUAGAGGAGUCAAUAACAGAAAAAGUGACUCGAUAACUAAUGUUGUUCUUCAGCUAGAUGCAGUCCUAGUUUCAAUGAUAGAUUCAAUCACAGGGAUCACAGGGACUUGCACUGCCUCCUGAGUCCGAGGUUAGUCCUUCAGCUGCUCGUGUCAGCACAAAGGAGAGUUCUGUUGAUCCUUUAGGGAAUGACCCAGACACAGGUGACUUAGAAAAAUGUGGGUUAUACGUCGAAGAAAAUCCUCCCCGCCUGGUUGCCCUAGGAAGACUUUGUGAGGGGUUGAAAACCGUUCACAACAUCCCUUUUUGCAAUGAUCAAAUCAAGGUUGGUGUUGAGGAAGUUAGAGAUGCAGAUGCUCCCAUUCCUGUACCCACUCAAGAGGUCCAGUUAGUGGGGCAGACACUUAACACCUUUGUUGCUUGACCGACACAUCUUGUCAAGCGUUUCUCAGAACAUGUAUUUCACUGUCAUUAAAUGUUUUUUUUUCAAUUAAAGUUUUCACUGUCAUUAAAUUAUGUUAAUUAACUGUGUUGGAUAAACAAGGAGUUGUGGGACUAGCGAAACCUACAGAUAGGCCGAAUCAUGAUGUCGAUGAUCCCUUAUAUCUGAUGACAUUGACCAUCCCACAGAUUUUUCUAAAGUCGUUGCAGGUUAUGCGGGAUGCUAUCGUGUUUAGGGUGUUUAAUGACAACUUCCCCUUGUAUAUAAAACAUGAAGAUCUGUAUGAAAUAGCACACGGUGGUCAAUGUCUCAAAUUUUGUGUUAUACAAUUGUGGAU
Molecule: long non-coding RNA, 2232 nt
Organism: Glycine soja
Lineage: Eukaryota; Viridiplantae; Streptophyta; Magnoliopsida; Fabales; Fabaceae
Exons: 4
Source: RefSeq, a predicted model, not a curated record